Molecule: transfer RNA, 77 nt
Filed under: Actinokineospora guangxiensis
Lineage: Bacteria; Bacillati; Actinomycetota; Actinomycetes; Pseudonocardiales; Pseudonocardiaceae
Also listed under: 2 other names
Description: tRNA-Leu
Rfam family: tRNA
About the family: Transfer RNA (tRNA) molecules are approximately 80 nucleotides in length. Their secondary structure includes four short double-helical elements and three loops (D, anti-codon, and T loops).
Source: RNAcentral
GCCCCCGUAGCCCAACAGGCAGAGGCAGCCCCCUUAAAAGGGGUGUAGUGCCGGUUCGAAUCCGGUCGGGGGCACCA